This 416-nucleotide unclassified non-coding RNA is filed under the name soil metagenome. RNAcentral's name for it is "partial contains 5.8S ribosomal RNA, internal transcribed spacer 2, and large subunit ribosomal RNA". The stretch from base 1 to 120 matches the Rfam family "5.8S ribosomal RNA", at positions 35 to 154 of the family's 154-position model. The record is from RNAcentral.
GAUGAAGAACGCAGCGAAAUGCGAUAAGUAAUGUGAAUUGCAGAAUUCAGUGAAUCAUCGAAUCUUUGAACGCACCUUGCACUCCUUGGUAUUCCGAGGAGUACGCCUGUUCGAGUGUUAUGAAGCUCUCAAAACGCAAUUGGCUUAAAACCUGAUUGUUGUUUUGGAUUUGUACUUUGCCGUGUUAUAACGGCUGGUUUUAAAAGUAUUAGCUGGUACUAGAACGAAUUGGUUCUACUCAACGUGAUAAUUAUCUGAUCGUUGAGGACAUUCCUUUCACGAGGAAUGGCCAUAGUAAAUUCAAUGGACUGCUUCUAAUCUGGCUUUAAUUCUUUAUUGGAUUAACCACUUUUCAAAUCUGACCUCGAAUCAGGUGGGACUACCCGCUGAACUUAAGCAUAUCAAUAAGCGGAGGA